Molecule: small RNA, 24 nt
Filed under: Arabidopsis thaliana (thale cress)
Lineage: Eukaryota; Viridiplantae; Streptophyta; Magnoliopsida; Brassicales; Brassicaceae
Description: ATSL018770
Source: RNAcentral
ACUUUAACGUAUUUGUCCUCAGAA